UACGUAGGGCGCAAGCGUUGUCCGGAAUUAUUGGGCGUAAAGAGCUCGUAGGCGGCUUGUCACGUCGGGUGUGAAAGCCCGGGGCUUAACCCCGGGUCUGCAUUCGAUACGGGCUGGCUAGAGUGUGGUAGGGGAGAUCGGAAUUCCUGGUGUAGCGGUGAAAUGCGCAGAUAUCAGGAGGAACACCGGUGGCGAAGGCGGAUCUCUGGGCCAUUACUGACGCUGAGGUGCGAAAGCGUGGGGAGCAAACAGG
This 253-nucleotide ribosomal RNA is filed under the name uncultured bacterium. Its description in RNAcentral is "partial 16S ribosomal RNA". It matches the Rfam family "Bacterial small subunit ribosomal RNA", at positions 524 to 776 of the family's 1533-position model. The record is from RNAcentral.